Molecule: non-coding RNA, 2990 nt
Organism: Misgurnus anguillicaudatus (oriental weatherfish)
Lineage: Eukaryota; Metazoa; Chordata; Actinopteri; Cypriniformes; Cobitidae
Source: RefSeq, a predicted model, not a curated record
AUGGCCGUAGCCAGCUAUGAGGUCACAGAGGUCCGGACCUCGGUAAUUUUUUUCAUAUUAAAAAAUAAAAUGUAAAGUUCUCUGAAUGACUAAUUAGUUUUUCAAAACGAAUCCGCAUAAAUAAUUUAGUUUGGACAGUUUACUGUAUAGUUUAGUGUAAAAUGACGAAGACUGGCUUAAGCUGUGACGGCGCGGGUACAGAAUUUGCAGUGUUGCCAGAUCCCAUCGUAAAAAAUCCUCUUUAGACAUAGUGUUUAGCAAUGAAUGUGACAAUUUGACACUAUCUAUAAAGUGAUUGUUAGGUGAAGGUUAGUAUUAGCAAUUUCACUGAUUUAUUUCUGAAAUACAAGGUUUGGACGAACUUUGUUUUUAAGGCCAAUUAUUUUUGCUUGUUUUUCGUACUAAUAUCUGGCAACAUGGAAACUGAAAGUUAUCAAAUAAGACGCAUGAUUCAGCGCAAGCAGGUUAUUGCUGAUACUACAUUCAGUAAGAUAAAAGCAGUAAUCAUCAUAAUUGUGUCUGUAAGAGUAUCAACAACACUAUCGAAAAACAGAAAACAACUCUGGUACAAAGAUGCACUCUUAGAACGUAUGUGUUAAAAACAACACAUUCGUGAAUCCCUCAGCUCUGUGUUAUUAUUGAAAAAACACAUUUUUUGUUACUUUUAACACAACUUGUGUUAUAUUUUAACACAAAAUCAACACAAAAUGACACAUAAUGUGUUAAAGUUUUUGUUAACACGCACCGGCCCGGCGGCGGGCCCUAGGGGGCGUUUUUACGUGUUUUUGUACUUUGUUUAACAUCAAAUAUUCAAUCAACAAUCAUAAACUUUGCAUUAUUUGAAAGUUUAAACACUCCAAAUUCAUGUUCUGAGCUUAUUUUUGCAAUCAAUACACUGGUGUGGAAAAGAUUAAAUGAAAUGCAGACGGAAUGCAUAUAAAAAAAUUUGUGGGUACUCACAUGGCUUGCCAUAUGGUUCUGACAAUUUCUGACAAUUCCCAAAAACUUCAACGUACAUUGCAAGGUAAGGGUCCACUCUUCAAAAAGCAUCCCACGUUUUAAUCCAAAACAAUUGCUGAGUCCCAAUUCGCAUACUAUCCGUCCUAAAUAGUAUUCGAAACUAGAAUUAGUACGUCCCAAAACGUAGUAUGUUGAAAUGAGUAUCCCAAAGAUACCCGGAUGGUCUACUAUUUCCGGUUAGAUUUCGAAGUGCAGAUCGAUCCACACUCUAACGGCUAAUAUUGCCCACAACCCAUUGCGUUCGGGAGGGAGGAGCUUUGUGGUGAUGUAAAUAUGGCAGCCAGACGCAGCAGCGGAGAUGCGCCCUCAGCUUUUAAGUGUAAUUAUUCAAAUGUUUAACCCUAUUAAAGUUAUCUUUCAUUGUCUCGUAAUACUCGGUUGAUGUUGUGAAAAUAAAGUACCAUGGCUGUAGUACUGUGUCAUGCAUGUGUCUUUUUAUGUAUUUCUUUUUAUGUUUCUGUCUUAGAUUUAUACCUUACUAUAAACCCUUAUGAAAAUAAACACCUUUUACUACACUAAUCAUAGUUUAACCACACUGACUUAUUUGUAGUAAUACUGUGGCUGUACAAAUGUUAACUUUAUUAAGAAAUGUAAUAUGGUUACUAAACUUUUACUAUAGUAAAAGCAUGGUUCAUUUUCAUCGCGGUAUUUUUGAUUUGCAUACAUAAGUAUAAAAUAAGCAUAAAAUACGUUAAACAAUAGUUAUACUAUAAACUUUAACUAUUUUGACUUUAAAAUAAGUAGCUUUCGUUACACACAUUGACAUGUUGCACAUGAACAUCAUAACCAGCCGUCUCACAAACGACCUGCGUUUGGUGUGCGUAACUAGGCAACCACGUUGUCGUUCACGUUGCAUGACGUCAUCGAAGUACGUCCCAGAACGUGCAUACUCUUUUGCUACACACUCAAAAGUACGUACAUUUUCCUCACAAAAACAGUACAUACUUUUAGGUCGUAGUAUAAGUAGGCGAAUUGGGACUCAGCAACUGAAAAAUAGUGAGAAAUCCAGCAAUAUCCUCCUUUGUUUACAUCCGCGCGUCCGCUAAGUAUGAUCGAUCAUGUUUAUUUUCUAUCAAAUAUCGAUUUUUAUCAGUGAAAAUCCAUCUCUUCCUGCUUCGUUAGACUGUUCAGAUAAAUAUCCCGCCCUAUUUUUCUGUUUUGUCCAAUCAGAAAAGGUUUGACAACUCAAAAUCUCAUGCGAUCAAUGAUUUGCCUAGAUAGAUGUCUUUCAGCUUGCCAUAGGCUUUUGACUGGAUUACACCAAAACAAAGCCAGCCAAUGCAUAGUGAGCAAAGCUUUGAUUGACAGAGGAAGUAACCAAUCAUGAAACGAUUACAAGGAUUCAACUUACGUCAGUAAAGUGUACUUCUGCGCAAAUCUACAGAAGCGCAUGGAGAGAAAUGCCCACGCCCCCUCCGUGCGCGUUUGUUUGUUUGGGUAGCAUAGCAGCCGGCUAAGCUCUCCGGAGCCGCUGAGAAACCUCUUCAAAUGUUAGAUAUAACAUCUCCAUUGUGGAUCGUGGACUGCAGAUUACUUUUUUGUGUUGAAAGUGUUUUGGAGAAGUUGAUAAAGAGCAUGAUCGCGGAUCAACAAUGCAAGACUGGAUGUAAACAAAGCGCGUCGUCGAGGAGAGAUGGACCGGAUUAUGAGCUCAGCUGCGCUCGCUUGGAUAAAGACUUCAGCUGACACAGGAGGACUGGAAUCUGGAGUGCAUUCAUGAGCGACCAUAUUCAAAAUAGCAAGUAUUUUGUUAUAAUGUGCAAAUGUUUUUUUCUGAAAUAGUUUUUUCUAUGUGCUUUGGUGGGCAGAGAAGUUCUGAAUUGAUAUACAUAAUGUAAUAUGUAGUCCUGACUCAUUUUCUUUUUAUAAUCAUGUCAUAUUGUUAUCAUGUGUAUAUUUGGAGUUUCCAAGUGCACUUUUUCUGAAAGGACGCCUGGACUUUUUUGAAAUAAAAGCUCACAGAAACAACA